Long non-coding RNA from Dreissena polymorpha, 236 nucleotides. RefSeq lists it as uncharacterized. The record is from RefSeq and is a predicted model, not a curated record. NCBI's taxonomy places the organism in Eukaryota, Metazoa, Mollusca, Bivalvia, Myida, Dreissenidae. The transcript is spliced from 3 exons.
GGGUUUGGAGGGUAACAAGCUUACUCAGCUAACUCGGCAGAGUCUUGUUCCUAUUGCAACCACUAGCUUCCUUCACUUGAAUAUCAGCAAUAACUUGAUCAAUUACAUCCAGGAAGACACCUUAAGUCAGUUUUCGGCUCUGAAAAUUCUUGAGGUGCACCGGAACAGCAUUGCGACUAUCAAUCCUAAUGCGUUCGCCAACAUCCCCACACUUCUUCACUUGUACGUACACACGA